GGCAGCAUGGUGUAGUGGUUUGAGCAUUGGAUCGUGACUCUGGAGACCAGGGUUCAAAUCCCUGCUCAGCCA
Non-coding RNA from Phrynosoma platyrhinos (Desert horned lizard), 72 nucleotides. NCBI's taxonomy places the organism in Eukaryota, Metazoa, Chordata, Lepidosauria, Squamata, Phrynosomatidae. The record is from the annotation of a GenBank genome assembly.